This 110-nucleotide transfer RNA is filed under the name Pyrinomonadaceae bacterium. Its description in RNAcentral is "tRNA-Ser". Lineage: Bacteria; Pseudomonadati; Acidobacteriota; Blastocatellia; Blastocatellales; Pyrinomonadaceae. The record is from RNAcentral.
GCCGAUUUGCAGGCAAAACUGUGCCGCGGGUGAUCGCGCGUGUACGCGCAUGACGCGCCGAAACCUCCAUGGUAAGGAGGGGGUCGACGGUUCGAGUCCGUCAGAGGGCU